CCUACGGGAGGCAGCAGUGAGGAAUAUUGGUCAAUGGACGAGAGUCUGAACCAGCCAAGUAGCGUGAAGGAUGACUGCCCUAUGGGUUGUAAACUUCUUUUAUAAAGGAAUAAAACGAGGCACGUGUGCCUUUUUGCAUGUACUUUAUGAAUAAGGAUCGGCUAACUCCGUGCCAGCAGCCGCGGUAAUACGGAGGAUCCGAGCGUUAUCCGGAUGUAUUGGGUUUAAAGGGAGCGUAGAUGGGUUGUUAAGUCAGUUGUGAAAGUGUGCGGCUCAACCGUAAAAUUGCAAUUGAUACUGGCAGUCUUGAGUACAGUUGAGGUAGGCGGAAUUCGAUGUGUAGCGGUGAAAUGCUUAGAUAUCACGAAGAACCCCGAUUGCGAAGGCAGCUUACUAAACUGUGACUGACAUUGAUGCUCGAAAGUGUGGGUAUCAAACAGGAUUAGAUACCCUUGUAGUC
Molecule: ribosomal RNA, 460 nt
Filed under: uncultured bacterium
Lineage: Bacteria
Description: partial 16S ribosomal RNA
Rfam family: Bacterial small subunit ribosomal RNA
Source: RNAcentral